This is a non-coding RNA of Trematosphaeria pertusa, 131 nucleotides long. Lineage: Eukaryota; Fungi; Ascomycota; Dothideomycetes; Pleosporales; Trematosphaeriaceae. The record is from the annotation of a RefSeq genome assembly.
GCAUCGGUGGUUUAGUGGGUGAGUGAAGUUAUCUCUCACCUCAACCGAAUAUUCACUAACAGUUACCCAGUAAAAUUAGCCGUUGCCAUCACAGUUUCGGCUAGCCCCGGGUUCGAUUCCCGGCCGAUGCA